UGCACCAGUUUGCAUUCCCAUCAACAGUGCACAAGGAUUCCCUUUUCUCCACAUCCUCGCCAACAUUUGCUGUUUUUUGUGUGGUGGAAGCCCUUUAAAGACAGAAUAGGCCUUCCCGGAAGAUCAGCAACACCAAGCAUGCCAGUAUGCUUUCCCUUCCUCUGGACUUUUCUUUCCUUGGAUUUCAAGCUUCAGCUAGAGCUCAUGGAACUCCUGCCUCCUUGUGAUCUCCCCCUGAAUGCCUGCUCUGUGGACUUCAGGCUUGCUUAGCCAGUCUCCACAACUGUUUCUACAGCCAGCUCAGAGGAUUCCAAAGCCCUUGAGACUGAAGCACAAGAUCUUGAAAUACUACAAAUAAAGUCAAACACAGUAUGUUCCUAUUUACCAAAAUGCCCACUUGUCCAAAAAAAAAAAAGAAAUUAAAAAAAUGUUUUCUCUUAGGAGAGUGCAGUAACCAAGAGGACUCAGGAGGAGUGGCUUAUGCAGGAUUACAGAGGCCUCCCAUUCCAGGAACAAAAAGACUGCAGCUGCCAGCAGAGAGCACCACAGACACUGAAAUGGUUGGACCUAUACUCAAUAAAUAUGAAGAAAAUGAAAGAAUGGAUGUGUAAACAUAUACCAGUCCUUUGGACCAGUUUUUCCUCCACCCCAUUGCUUUGGAGUACUCAAUCCUCUCCUCACCCAUCCCUCUCCAUCAGGAGUCCUGAGAAGCAAUUGUACUAGCCUGCACUGCCUUUCAUCCAUGGAGAACUGUGGACAGAGCUUGCCCUCCAGUUCCCCAGGGCAUGUGCCUACCCAGCCAACACCAGAGUUCACUUGCUUGCACCUUCCUAGUGUUUCAUUGGGAGCACAUCCAUGGUCUCAGGUUUCUGUUUGCAAAGCCAGACCACAAAAAUUAAGUUAAUUGAGACAUCAUAGCAAAAGGAUUUUUCUUCAGAGAUGAGUUUAUCAAUUUCCUUAGUCUCAGGGAUGUUGGCCUAUCCUUUAUACCCAAUCCUUUCCUCUUCCUCUGUACAAAAAUGAAGGAAAAGUGGUCUGCUAUGGAAGACAGAAACAGAGGGUUGUGUGGGCAUUCAAUUAUCUGCUUAAGUGAAAGAUGAGCUCAAAGCCACAAAAUGGCUUCCCUUUAAAGUAAAUGAUAUAAAGGAAAAGCUGAAGCUGAAACCAGUAAAUCCACCUUUCAGAAAAGCAACCUGUAACUUGGAGUUAGCAAAUACAGACUGCCAUAGCUUGCAGAAUAUUAGAAACCCACACAGUGAAAGUAAACAAAAUAAGAUUUGCAUCCUAGUGUGGUCUACUGGUUAGGAACUGUUAGCUUCAUUUAGGCCCUGACUUGGUGAUGCUUCUACAUUUUCCUAUCUUUAUUUGCAAGCUAUAGUGCACGUGGUAUAGUGGAGAGAGCAGGGGACACAGCACACAGAGGGAACUUGAAAGAUCUCUGAUUAAAGAAUAAAAAGUCAAGUAACAAUAGUGUUGUCCCAGUGCCACUUACAUGUGACCUUGGAAAAAUGAUUUAAUCUCUGAAAAUCUCAAAAUCCUAAUUUGUAAGAUGCUCUUCUCUGCCCAACUCAGAGGUUUGUGGGCAAAAUCCAAAUGACAUAAUGAUUCUAAAAGACCUUACAAAUUAUAAAGGGGAAUUUAAAUUGGCAUCCCGAGAUGUUCUUAAUGCUCUCACAGGACUACUGUGAGACUCAAGGAGACCAUGCAGUGGAAAGCCAUUUGGGCACCUACGGAGAGACACUAUGAAAAUCCUGGAGAUUAUGUUCAUAGUUGGAAUACCUGUGGAGCCCAUUUGUCCCCACACUGUGAGUCUGCCCAUGAACACCUCAGAGACCUUUAAGAUACAUAUUAUUAUCUCCAGUUUAGAAGGAUACUGAAGCCUAGAGAAAUUAAGAAACUUGCCUAAAACGCUACUCCUCUUUAGUGACAGCAGAGGGCUUCAAACUCUGAUCUGCCCAGCUCCAAACCCUGUGUUCAUGUCAUGAAAGAAACCAAGUCGCCAGCUGUCAGAGGUAUUAAGGUAUUCUCUACCUGGUGACAGUUCAAGGUGAAGUUCCUGGAAUUCUACCCUCACGGCUGGUGGCAGUGCUUCCUGUCUAGGGCCUGUACUAGCCCAGAGUGUUUUUCUCAGUCAGACAGGAUUCAAGGUCUUCCAGGAGGAAUAAGUGGGAUAUUUACAAGUUUUUGUCAUGUUGUGGCCAUUCUCAAUUCACACUGGAGUUUGGGAGGUCCUGGCAAUGGACUUGAGGGGUCAUAUGGGUUCGGUGGAGCUUUACUUCCUUAAUCGGGUUUUGCCAAGCACAGUAAAGGAAGUUUUGUUCUAUUCUCAAAGCGUCUCCUUCUAGGGCUUCAGAAGUCCAGUCAAAGUCAUGAAGGAAUGUCUGAACACACAAUGGUGACAUUAGAGGCAGCAUUCUGGAUUAAUCAAGACAGAUACUUCUUUGACUCCUCUCCAAAGAUUUCCUGGUACUGAAGGCAUGUUCCAGGUUUAAAGAAGUAGAGGGACUCCCAAAAAUCCAUCUGGCAGUUUGAGUAGACCCCCACAGGCUGGUUAACAAGGCACAAAAGGGUUUCUACCACUAGGCACACUCUUAGUCUACUAACUGAACCAAAUUGUUUUGUACAGUGCUAAGAAAGGCUGUGAAAAGGUGAAAAUGAUGAAUACUGACAACAACCCAAGAGGAUUCUAGUGCAAAAACUGCACAGCAAUGACACUGCAUCAUUCCUGGUCUUACAGACAAAUGUAGUACACAUGGAAUAAGUACAUGCCCAAGGCUGCCAAGCUGUCAUCUGACCUCUGACACACGAGUGUAGGGUUUUCUGCCUUCAGGUUACGGAUGCUCCCUGCCUGCUUGUGAUCAUCAGUGCCUAUCAUGGUGGCUCAUCAGGCCUCCAGACUUCCCAGGCAGCAUGAGAGGUAGACUGUCCUUAAACUGCCACACAUCUCUGACUCCUGCAAACCAGCAUGCACCGACAGCCACUGGGUACCUGACCACCAGGAGCUCUUUGCACUGCUCUGCGAUGGCCACAUCUUUCCCACCUACGCAAACACAUCCAUGGCCAUCGAAGUAACUUUCAGGGAAUCCUACACUAUAUAUCUUCUAAAUUUGUGUGUGCUAUCUCAAGAAUAUGCAUUCUUGGGAGCCAAAUGAGCACAAGGUAGUGUUCUUGCGUGUAUCAUUUGUUAAUGCAGUCACUCAUUCAUUCAUCAGCAAACAUUUGUUGUGUGCACCAUAAAUGCAAAAGGCGUUCAAUAAAAAUUAGUAAACAAAGAUGUUUGACUUGAUAUAAAAAUACAUUUAGAAGGCUUUAAUGUUUUCAUAUUUGAUUCUUACUCACUCGAAUCACCAUUCCCACAAGAAUAUUUACCAGUUGGUAAGCUGGAAAACAUUCUCAAUCUCCCUGGUUUUCCAUUUCAAACCUAUAGAGGAGGUCAUGCCUCAUAGCAUUGUUGUGAGACUUUAAUAAUUCCAUCUUUUGAAACUUUAUAAAUUACAACACAACAUGCAAUGUCAUUUCUUAAUGCUACUAUGUGUCUAGUACUAUAUUGUCCCCACUUUAUCCAAUAUUAUAUUUACAAAAAUAAAGAUUUCUCCAAAGAGAGUUAUGCAAAUCUUUGCACUA
Molecule: long non-coding RNA, 3624 nt
Organism: Canis lupus familiaris (dog)
Lineage: Eukaryota; Metazoa; Chordata; Mammalia; Carnivora; Canidae
Exons: 6
Source: RefSeq, a predicted model, not a curated record